AAAUGAGCUAUUUCGUUGUAUAGAGGUGCUGGUAAAUAUAAUUGUAUGUGUUUAUGUGUAUAUGUAGGGCUGUAAAGCAGCGGCUACAGAAAGAGCGGAGAGAAGAGGAGGAUCGUCUGGAACAGGAAACACAAAGCAAACUUCAUCAAUUCAGAGAGCAGUCCCGAAAAGAGAGGGAAACGCAGAUACACACACUCAGGGAGGAGAACGAGGCUCGGCUGAGAGAAAUGCGCUCGGAACUGGAGGCGGAGCGAGAGAGGCUAGAGGUGCAGAGAAAGAGAGAUCUGGAAACACUGAGGGCGGAGUCGGAGGAGGAGCUUGCAGCGGAGAGGAGGCAGCUGCAGGACAGGAGGGAGGAGCAACUACAUUCACUUAGACUAGAGGGGAGAGCCAGUGACCGACAGAGAGAACUGAGGAGUCCUCGUCCUGAACAGCAACUGUCCGAAUACCAGAGAGAGCUGUCUGAUGUGUUGCAGGAAGUGAGGGAGGAAGUGCAGAGAGAGCACAACAGAAAACUUGAACAGAUCAAAGAGGACCACCGGCAGCAGCUACACACCAUCAGAGUGACACACAUGGAGGAGGAGAGUAUGCAGAGGGAGCGGUUGCUGGGUUCUCUACAGGAGGAGAGGGAGAGGAUGCUAUCCUCACAUUCAGCUCAGCUGGAGCAGCUCAGACUGCAGCUCGACUCCCAACUCCACAACAUCCGCAAAACACACACACACAAGGAGGCUGAAGUACAGGAGAUGAUGGAGCAGCUGGAGCUAAAAGCCAAAGAGCUCAAAACUCAGGAAACAAGAUUACAGGCCCAGGCAGCAGAUUUAAAGAAGAGGAGGCAGCUGCUGGGUGAUGAAGAAGAUGAGGUUGAGAGAGGGAUAGAGGCUCUUCCCCGUCUGCUCAAAGAGAGGGAUCGCCUGCUUGCCGAGCUGGAGCGGAUGAGGGAUGAGAGAGACAGAGCAAGGGAUGAGCUGGAGAGAGAGAAGGAGGAGAGGAAGAGAGUGAGGGAUGAGCUGGAGAGAGAGAAGGGGGAGAGAAGAAAGGAGAGGGAGGAGAAUGGAAGGACCAGGGAGGAGCAAGAAAGACUGCAGACAAAAGUUUCUCUCCUGCAGGAAAGGUGUGAUCGACUCAGCAGGAGAGUCAGGUAACACAAACACACACACACACACACAGACACACACACACACACCUGAGUUUUUGUUAAUUGUUGAAUU
RNAcentral lists this long non-coding RNA (1208 nucleotides) under Astyanax mexicanus (Mexican tetra). RNAcentral's name for it is "lncRNA (ENSAMXG00005022142.1)". Lineage: Eukaryota; Metazoa; Chordata; Actinopteri; Characiformes; Acestrorhamphidae. The record is from RNAcentral.